UGGGGAAUCUUCCGCAAUGGACGAAAGUCUGACGGAGCAACGCCGCGUGAGUGAAGAAGGCCUUCGGGUUGUAAAGCUCUGUUAUUCGGGAAGAACGAUUCGUUUAUGAACAAUGAACGGAAGUGACGGUACCGAAAGAGAAAGCCACGGCUAACUACGUGCCAGCAGCCGCGGUAAUACGUAGGUGGCAAGCGUUGUCCGGAAUUAUUGGGCGUAAAGAGCGCGUAGGCGGUAUGAUAAGUCUGUCUUAGAAGUGCGGGGCUUAACCCCGUGAGGGGACAGAGACUGUCAUACUAGAGUCUCGGAGAGGAAAGCGGAAUUCCUAGUGUAGCGGUGAAAUGCGUAGAGAUUAGGAAGAACACCGGUGGCGAAGGCGGCUUUCUGGACGAGCACUGACGCUGAGGCGCGAAAGCGUGGGGAGCGAACAGG
This 429-nucleotide ribosomal RNA is filed under the name bacterium. Its description in RNAcentral is "partial 16S ribosomal RNA". It matches the Rfam family "Bacterial small subunit ribosomal RNA", at positions 355 to 776 of the family's 1533-position model. The record is from RNAcentral.